AAAAAAAUAAAGAAAAAUAAAAUAAACAUUGCCUGGUAUACAAUUAGUGCCAGGUAGACACUUAUAGUAGCAGUGAUGAUUGCUAAGGCUGCCUUAGGCUCUUCUCAAAACUCCUCAAAGCAGGCAGCCCUAGCUGUCACUCUCAGUGGUGGUAAGAGCUACUCUGGCUCUGAAUGUUCCAGGACGUUCAGAUGUUCUCAGUUCUUCUAAUAGAAGGACACCAAGGACCUGGAGGCUGGUGGUCAAAACUAGGAAGAGGAAGGCUUGAGUUAUGGCAAGGUGAGUGCCAUGCAGUUCCCCUGACUUCAGCCUCUAGUCUGUUAACCGGGUAGCCUUGGCGAUUCUCAAGUCUCAGGCCUCUGGGAGCUGAGGUUACUAAAACUGUCUCUGAAAAACUGCCUUUCACAAGGUUGCAUUUUGGUCCCCUCUUAGAAGAUGAAACCUCUGACUUCCCUUACGUGGAAGUGCUCUUGAGUUGACUUUGCAGGGAGUUCAGGCCUUCGGGGUUUGUGGCUUCACCUCCGCAUCAUGCUGUUUCCCAUUUUUCAGUUUCUCCACCUCUCAAAUUUCUGUGUCACCAGUAUCGCCAGCAGCAUAGGUCUCAUGGAGGCUUCUUCCCUGGCAACCAAGAAGAGUUAGCGUCACUCUUCGUUUCAAAAGCAUGCACUGUCCCUUGGGUGGCGACCUGCAUUUCCUAGAUCUUGGCACCGCCUCUCCUCGAGGCUCCGCCCCUGACCCGCCCCCUCCCAGAGUGCUUUGUGUCAGCUCUGGCCGAGUGGACAAGUGGACGCAGCUGGCUGCCGGACUUCGGGACUUCUCUCUCUGGAUCCCAUCCUGCCUGCGACACAGGGACAGGAAUGCAGCUGGCAGCAGCCUGUGGGGGCAGUCAGAAUCUGAGAAUUGGAAACCAAGGCUGCCAAAGAUCACACAGCUAGUUUAAGUGGUGAAGCUGCAAUUCUUACCCAGGAGCAAGCCAUCAAGGCUGGAGCUGGGCCUCCACCACAGCUGGACUGGAUCAGGUUGGAGUAACUUCCCCAAAGCCAGCUGGGAAAACCUCCAGGAUGCCGUUCCCGGGGAAGCCGACCCUGCUGCCACCCCCCCACCCCCCCCCGCCUCCUUCCAUUCAUGGAAAAGUACAGGCAGUACUGGUGCCCCACAAGCCUUCAGGCAAAUGCCUGGCUGCCCUCUGGACUCACAACGGCAAGCUCUGACUGGUUUGUCCUUGGUCCAGGGCUGGAGGAAAAUCGCUUCCCAAAAAAAGCAGUUUAAAAAAAAAUGUGGAAAAUAUACACAGCCCAAGUGUCUGCACAGAGCGGGGGCGGGAAGUCUUCUAGACAGCCUUGCAGAGAAGAUUCCAUGGUCCUCCUGCGAAGAGGCUGGAAGGAAUGUGAAACCCUAUCACCCGGAGGAGGGGAAAUGCACACUACGCCUUUCACUUUCUGCCCGCUCUAGGAAGGCGUCAGGGGUGUGGACCAUGCUGCACAGUCUGCUUCCUGAGAUGCUGCCUCCGACAGCUGUGGUUCAGCAGGUGGGCGAGGUUGGACCCCUGGUCUCUGGAGUGUCACUCAGGUGCUUGGGAGGAGCUGGGCCACGCAUCAGUUUCCUUCUGGAUGCUGAGGUUGCCCAAGCCUCCAGGUACUAACCUAACUCUGUUAUCUAUUCCUCUCUCCCUCCCUUACAUAGGGAUUGUUAGUUUUACAUGGGGGCUUCUCUGGUGGCUCAGAUGGUAAAGAGUCUGCCUGUAAUGCAGGAGAUCUGGGUUUGAUCCUUGGGUCGGGAAGAUCCCCUGGAGAAGGGAAUGGCAACCCACUCUAGUAUUCUUGCCUGCAAAAUACUCAUGGAUGGAGGGGCCUGGCGGGCUACAGUCCAUGGGGUCCCAAAGAGUUGGACACAACUGAGUGACUUUAUUCAGUUUUACAUAUGCUCUCAUUUGACACUUGCAGCAAGUAAGAAAGUGGGAUAUAGAUAUUACUGGACUUACUGGACAAAAGAAGCGAUCAAGGUUCAGGGAUGCCAUCUUCCUAAGGCCACAUGGAUAUCAGUCUUCUGUGAAUCCAGUGUCCUCACAGCACACCUCGUUGCCCUGUGCCCUUGACGCUCCAUGGGUCCCUGCUGUUGUUCUUUCAGAAGCAGGAGGUGCUGGCGAGUGUGUGUCUGGGAGUCAGGAGGCUGACAUACUGUGGCACUGGACUUGGCCCAUAGAUGGCUUACUGAGUGUGUGAAAGAGUGAAUGUGUAACCCUGGGCAAGACCUCACUUCUCUAUGCCACGGUUUCCUCACUUUGCAUGAUGCAGGUGUGGAGUUGGGUAAUCUCUAAGCCCCUUCCCAUUUCCAAAGUUUUGAGGUACUCCCUAUACUUUCUGAUCAAACACAAACUUUCUGGGUCUUGCCACCGAAGCCACCACGUUCUUCCUCGUCCACUCAGUCACGUUUCCCAGCACAGACCCUGCCGUGACCUGUCUUGAUACCCACUGCCCAGGUGCAGUGGGCCGAGUGUGGACUGAAAGCUCAGACCUGCUUUAGCCUCUGUACAGACACAGACCCAGGCCAGGUGGCCCACAGAUGUGUUUUUGAUUCCCUGAAUGACUCAGCCCUGGGAUACCUGAGUGAGGCUGGAUUUUGGGUGAGAAAGUGAAGGUGUGGGAGAAACUCAUGUGUCUUAGUGUUUAGGGGUGGGUGGUGAGGCAUUAUGCUAAAGAUCAGGGUGAGGGGCUAAGGUUUUUGACCAAGAAAGGGAGAGAUGCUCUGACUCCGUCACUGUGAGUCAGAUGUCUUCUGGAUCUAGAUUGAGUAUUGGAGGGUGUAUUUCCUUUUCCUAGUCUUAGAUGGCUGGGUGUCCUUGAUUGGACUAAUAGUAUGGGGCACAGAAAGGCAGGCAAUGGCUCUGACAGGUAUCAAGGAGCUGAGCCCUGUAGCCCCCAGGGUGGUCGAGGGCCUUGGAGGGCUUGU
Long non-coding RNA from Bubalus bubalis (water buffalo), 2949 nucleotides. RefSeq lists it as uncharacterized. NCBI's taxonomy places the organism in Eukaryota, Metazoa, Chordata, Mammalia, Artiodactyla, Bovidae. The record is from RefSeq and is a predicted model, not a curated record. The transcript is spliced from 3 exons.